AUUUCUGUCUCAUAAAAAAAUCUUUACAUAAGACACAGGGCUACAUAUGUAAAUAAUUUCUGGAUGUCUAUUAAUAUUUAGUGAAAAAAAUUAGAUUCAUAGCAAUGAGACCAGAUUGGCUUCAGUCCAAGUAAUGUGUCUCCAUUAAUCUGUGAUCACCAUGAGCAGUUUUUAAAAUUUUUCUCAAAUUAUUUUUAAGUUACUGUGUUCAAUAAAGUACACUUUUUGUGGGGGUGAUGAAAUAGCACAAAAUAUUAAGUGUGAUAUGCUACUCCUUGAUCUCUGUACCACCAUCAUUUCUAUACUUGCUAGAAUUGUGGAAUUAUUCAAACAUGAUAGCUAAAUUAAUUGUAAUUUUGCUUUUAUGGCUUUUGUCUCAAUUGAUGGCUUGUGGAAGAACUGUUAGUAUUAUUUUGAGGAUAUAACUGCUGCCUAACAUGACACAGAUAAUUAAGUCCUUAGAGACUAGCGCUAAUGAUUACUAUCAGCAACACAGUUUUGCUGUUCUGUUGUCAUGAUCUCUCUAGCUGACCUUAUUUAUUUUAUUUUAUUUUAUUUUAUUACUAGCUGUGCCCGGCCACGCGUUGCUGUGGCAAAGUCUGGUGGUAUGGGAAAUAAAGUAUUGAGGAAUUGGAGGUAGUUAAGGUAAAGGGUAAAGGUUUUUUCCUGAUAUUAAGUCCAGUCAUGUGUGAGUGUGUGGGUUGGUGAUCAUGUGUAUUUGUAAGUCGAAGAGGUGGCAUUGUUUGUAGAGUCCUUGGAGGUCAUGUGGGUGGUAUGACUGUAUGGAGCGCUGUAAGUUUUGUGUCAGAGGAAUACUGAUAUUUGGUUGUUUAUUUGGAUGAUAUUGGAUGUAGUGAUUUUUGGAUGUUUUGGAACUGUUGGGUUGGGAGAAGGUGGGGUAAUAGUGGGGGUUGCCUCCGUUUUUCGAAUUCAAACGUGCGACGUUUCAUUGGAGAAGUUGAGUAGGUUAGCGGUUGAAGACGCUGCGUCAUUAGGGGAUAUUAUUUCCUAAAGGUUGCGAAUAUACAAUAUUUGUGAUUAUUGGGGUUUUUUGUCUGUUGGAGGUAAGUAUGAAUGGUGUAUAAGAGAUGUUGUAGGUGUUGUGAAUGGGUAUAGAGUACGUUAUCAUCGGUAUAUUAGAGUUGAAUAAGAGAUGUUGUAGGUGUCGUGAAUGGGUAUAGAGUACGUUAUCAUCGGUAUAUUAGAGUUGUAUAAGAGAUGUUGUAGGUGUCGUGAAUGGGUAUAGAGUACGUUAUCAUCGGUAUAUUAGAGUUGUAUAAGAGAUGUUGUAGGUGUCGUGAAUGGGGAUAGAGUACGUUAUCAUCGGUAUAUUAGAGUUGUAUAAGAGAUGUUGUAGGUGUUGUGAAUGGGUAUAGAGUACGUUAUCAUCGGUAUAUUAGAGUUGUAAAAGAGAUGUUGUAGGUGUUGUGAAUGGGGAUAGAGUACGUUAUCAUGGGUAUAUUAGAGUUGUAUAAGAGAUGUUGUAGGUGUUGUGAAUGGGUAUAGAGUACGUUAUCAUGGGUAUAUUAGAGUUGUAUAAGAGAUGUUGUAGGUGUUGUGAAUGGGUAUAGAGUACGUUAUCAUGGGUAUAUUAGAAACGUUAGGAUUGUAUGAUGAUGUUGUUGUUGUUGUUAUUAUUAUUAUUAUUAUUGAGAGGCUGGGUGGCCAUCUGUUGGUAGUGCUUGGAUUGUGUCCUGCAUGGCAGAUGGUGGGAGGUGUUAGCUGGCCGUGAUUGUUUAGUGUCUGGCAUUCCUGUGUUUUAAGAGUGUUGUUUUUUAUUUGGUGUUGUGAUUUUAAGCUUGUUAAAAUAUUAGGAGUCAGAUUGUGUUGAUUGUCAUGAUUGAUAGCAUAUAUUUAAAAUAUUGAGUGUUAAAAUGGGUUGGAUAGUGUAGAAGGGAGAGUAUAUGGAGAGAAAUAAUUCGGAUGAUGGGCGGGCACUAGGACCCAGGGGACAGCUUUUUCCCUUUGCCUGCCUUUCCUCUUGCGGCGGCG
Molecule: long non-coding RNA, 1992 nt
Organism: Anolis carolinensis (green anole)
Lineage: Eukaryota; Metazoa; Chordata; Lepidosauria; Squamata; Anolidae
Exons: 3
Source: RefSeq, a predicted model, not a curated record